GAAUAUUAUAAUGCGUCAGAAGCAAUUAAUUGCUUUGUAAUUCGCGCGUCGUGCGAAGGAUUCGCCUAUAAUACGCAUUUUGCGUAAAUGGCAACGUUGGCCCGCCGUCGACGACUAUAUAAGACCGCGACGGGAAUUUCUCGAUCUCUUCUGUUUCGAACGACUGACGGAAGCAACAUCGGUGAAGGAACAUCACGCGACGCGACGUCCAGACGCAGAUUAUAAGGGAAGAUUCAACAUUCAUCGUCAGCAAAGAAGAUAAGUAAACCACAUUUUAUUAUUACAUUAUUAUCUCGGCAUUAUUAUUAUCUAAAAUGUAUCACUAUUUUGUUUUUUAUACUGUAAUAUAAACUGACGUGACAGCUAAGAAAUCUAUCGAAUUUCCACGUUUCGCCAAAAGUAUUCUAAUUUAUAACACACCGAUUCGUAAAAUGUAAUAAUACUAGCUAUAAUUUUGAAUAAAACGGUUCACUGUGGACAUUUAUGAAACAUAAGUCAGUUUAUAUUACAAGGUCAAGAACGAAGUCGAAAGAAACAUUUUCUAAUUUCACGAUUGCGAUUUGAAGGAAACAACAUAUCGAAGAAGAAAGGAUCCAACUUGCUUUUGCGACAAGGAAACAACAGGUUCUCCUCUCCAUCGGAAAAGCAACCGCUGGUGCAACGAACUUCCGCAACGGAAAUUGCGCAACUAUGAGACGGAAGAAGACCUUGAUACAUCGUCCGUGCGUGGGUCAGCUCCAACGGAUGUCAACAACCACAAGAUAUAUAUAUAUAUAUACUAAAUAUUAAUUGUAAUUAAUCUUUCAAAAAUAAAAAAUAUAUAAAAGAAA
Osmia bicornis bicornis is the source of this 830-nucleotide long non-coding RNA. RefSeq lists it as uncharacterized. Lineage: Eukaryota; Metazoa; Arthropoda; Insecta; Hymenoptera; Megachilidae. The transcript is spliced from 2 exons. The record is from RefSeq and is a predicted model, not a curated record.